This 253-nucleotide ribosomal RNA is filed under the name uncultured bacterium. RNAcentral's name for it is "partial 16S ribosomal RNA". It matches the Rfam family "Bacterial small subunit ribosomal RNA", at positions 524 to 776 of the family's 1533-position model. The record is from RNAcentral.
UACGUAGGGUGCAAGCGUUGUCCGGAAUUAUUGGGCGUAAAGAGCUCGUAGGCGGUCUGUCGCGUCGGCUGUGAAAACCCGGAGCUCAACUCCGGGCCUGCAGUCGAUACGGGCAGACUGGAGUUCGGCAGGGGAGACUGGAAUUCCUGGUGUAGCGGUGAAAUGCGCAGAUAUCAGGAGGAACACCGGUGGCGAAGGCGACACGCUGGGCCGUACCUGACACUGAUGCGCGACAGCAUGGGGAGCAAACAGG